RNAcentral lists this long non-coding RNA (559 nucleotides) under Elaeis guineensis (African oil palm). RNAcentral describes it as "long non-coding RNA (EGUI_LNC013894)". Lineage: Eukaryota; Viridiplantae; Streptophyta; Magnoliopsida; Arecales; Arecaceae. The record is from RNAcentral.
UGAAGACUAAUUUAUAAAUAUAGUAGCAAGCCUGUAUAUAUCCCAAUUCUCAACAUAUUAGCCAUAAUCCAAUAUUUCAUAACACAAAAUAAUACAAUAACACAUUUAAGCAAACACAUUUGGGUAAAGCUUCCACAAAAUAUAAGUUUAAUAUCUAUCAAGAUUUCAAUCCAUAAACAAACACAAAACAUCAAAAUAUUAAAUAAUUCAACUCCAGUUAACAUCCAGCAUCAAACAUAAGACUAUACCUAAUAAAUUCAUAAUCAGACAUCAAUCACAUGCAAGAUCGAUUGGAGAGUUAUCUAACUCAGUUCGUUCUUGUGGAGAAAGUCACAACUACUCAGAGGAUGUAAAAUAAAGACUAAAAAUAGGAGCUCGCAGCAUCUCUCGAUGUUGAAGAUUUAUCAAAACCGCUAUACUAUACUCCUGUGUAACCUCCAUAGCUCCUUACUUAGCAGAAUAAGUGAUAAAUACACUCCCUGAAGGGCCAUCUAGUUGAGAAGUAAAGCAUGGUGUAGGAGUCCCCACAAAUAUACUGGAUGAAUAUGUAUGCAGCCCA